UAGUACGGCGAGUGAACCGGGAAGAGCUCAAAUUUGAAAUCUGGCGUGCUCAGUGCGUCCGAGUUGUAAUCUAUAGAGUCGUUUUCCGUGCCGGACUGUGUCCAAGUCCCUUGGAACAGGGUAUCAAAGAGGGUGAUAAUCCCGUACUUGACACAAUGACCGGUGCUCUGUGAUACGUCUUCUACGAGUCGAGUUGUUUGGGAAUGCAGCUCAAAAUGGGUGGUGAGUUCCAUCUAAAGCUAAAUAUUGGCGAGAGACCGAUAGCGAACAAGUACCGUGAGGGAAAGAUGAAAAGCACUUUGGAAAGAGAGUUAAACAGUACGUGAAAUUGUUAAAAGGGAAACGAUUGAAGUCAGUCGUGACUGAGAGGCUCAGCCGGUUCUGCCGGUGUAUUCCCCUCAGUCGGGUCAACAUCAGUUUUGUUCGGUGGAUAAGGGCAGUUGGAAGGUGGCACCCUCGGGUGUGUUAUAGCCAGCUGUCGCAUACAUCGGAUGAGACUGAGGAAUGCAGCUCGCCUUUAUGGCCGGGGUUCGCCCACGUUCGAGCUUAGGAUGUUGACAUAAUGGCUUUAAACGACCCGUCUUGA
Molecule: ribosomal RNA, 586 nt
Filed under: uncultured Cryptococcus
Lineage: Eukaryota; Fungi; Basidiomycota; Tremellomycetes
Description: eukaryotic LSU rRNA
Rfam family: Eukaryotic large subunit ribosomal RNA
Source: RNAcentral